This 505-nucleotide ribosomal RNA is filed under the name uncultured bacterium. RNAcentral describes it as "partial 16S ribosomal RNA". It matches the Rfam family "Bacterial small subunit ribosomal RNA", at positions 28 to 507 of the family's 1533-position model. The record is from RNAcentral.
GACGAACGCUGGCGGCGUGCCUAAUACAUGCAAGUAGAACGCACAGUUUAUACCGUAGCUUGCUACACCAUAGACUGUGAGUUGCGAACGGGUGAGUAACGCGUAGGUAACCUGCCUGGUAGCGGGGGAUAACUAUUGGAAACGAUAGCUAAUACCGCAUAAUAUUGAUUAUUGCAUGAUAAUUGAUUGAAAGAUGCUAUUGCAUCACUACCAGAUGGACCUGCGUUGUAUUAGCUAGUAGGUGAGGUAACGGCUCACCUAGGCGACGAUACAUAGCCGACCUGAGAGGGUGAUCGGCCACACUGGGACUGAGACACGGCCCAGACUCCUACGGGAGGCAGCAGUAGGGAAUCUUCGGCAAUGGACGAAAGUCUGAACGAGCAACGCCGCGUGAGUGAAGAAGGUUUUCGGAUCGUAAAGCUCUGUUGUAAGAGAAGAACGGGUGUGAGAGUGGAAAGUUCACACUGUGACGGUAUCUUACCAGAAAGGGACGGCUAACUACGUG